RNAcentral lists this ribosomal RNA (221 nucleotides) under uncultured bacterium. RNAcentral's name for it is "partial 16S ribosomal RNA". It matches the Rfam family "Bacterial small subunit ribosomal RNA", at positions 338 to 571 of the family's 1533-position model. The record is from RNAcentral.
CCUACGGGAGGCAGCAGUGGGGAAUAUUGGGCAAUGGAGGAAACUCUGACCCAGCGACGCCGCGUGCGGGAUGAAGGCCUUCGGGUUGUAAACCGCUUUCAGUAGGGAAGAAGCGUAAGUGACGGUACCUACAAAAGAAGCACCGGCUAACUAUGUGCCAGCAGCCGCGGUAAUACAUAGGGUGCAAGCGUUGUCCGGAAUUAUUGGGCGUAAAGAGCUCG